This 359-nucleotide ribosomal RNA is filed under the name uncultured bacterium. Its description in RNAcentral is "partial 16S ribosomal RNA". It matches the Rfam family "Bacterial small subunit ribosomal RNA", at positions 338 to 710 of the family's 1533-position model. The record is from RNAcentral.
CCUACGGGAGGCAGCAGUGGGGAAUAUUGGGCAAUGGAGGAAACUCUGAACCAGCAAUGCCGCGUGAAUGAAGAAGGUCUUCGGAUUGUAAAGUUUCUUAGUCAGGGGAGAAUAAAAUGACGGUACCUGAAGAAUAAGCUCCGGCUAACUACGUGCAAGAAGCCGCGGUGAUACGUAGGGAGCAAGCGUUGUUCGGAAUGACUGGGCGUAAAGGGUGCGUAGGCGGGUAUGCAAGUUAGAAGGGAAAUACCCAGGGCUUAACUCGGGUGCUGCUUCUAAAACUGUAAGACUUGAGUGCAGUAGAGGUUAGUGGAAUUCGUGGUGUAGCGGUGGAAUGCGUAGAUAUUAGGAGGAACACC